CCUACGGGAGGCAGCAGUGAGGAAUAUUGGUCAAUGGCCGGAAGGCUGAACCAGCCAAGUCGCGUGAGGGAAUAAGGCCCUAUGGGUCGUAAACCUCUUUUGUCAGGGAGCAAAGGCGUCCACGUGUGGCCGAGUGGAGAGUCCCUGAAGAAAAAGCGUCGGCUAACUCCGUCCCAGCAGCCGCGGUAAUACGGGGGAUGCGAGCGUUAGCUGGAUUUUUUGGGUUAAAAGGGUGCGUAGGCGGAGUGUCAAGUCAGCGGUAAAAUUUCGGGGCUCAACCCCGUCGGGCCGGUGAAACUGACGGCCUUGAGUGAGUGAGAAGUAAGCGGAAUGCGUGGUGUAGCGGUGAAAUGCAUAGAUAUCACGCAGAACGCCGAUUGCGAAGGCAGCUUACCGGCGCUCAACUGACGCUGAGGCACGAAAGUGCGGGUAUCGAACAGGAUUAGAUACCCGGGUAGUC
This 460-nucleotide ribosomal RNA is filed under the name uncultured bacterium. Its description in RNAcentral is "partial 16S ribosomal RNA". It matches the Rfam family "Bacterial small subunit ribosomal RNA", at positions 338 to 795 of the family's 1533-position model. The record is from RNAcentral.